This is a long non-coding RNA of Corapipo altera (White-ruffed manakin), 258 nucleotides long. RefSeq lists it as uncharacterized. The transcript is spliced from 3 exons. Lineage: Eukaryota; Metazoa; Chordata; Aves; Passeriformes; Pipridae. The record is from RefSeq and is a predicted model, not a curated record.
GGGGCCACAGCACCUGCUCCCCCCUCUUCUCAUCCCUUCAGGAGAUGAAGAAAUGGCCCUCAAUGUUUCCCCUCAGUGUACUCUGCAAAUCCUCCUUGAAAGCAUGGGCAUAAUCCCAUUUGCCAGCCAGAUCCACUUUGGGCUGCUUAAAGUGGCUGUAAAAGCAUCUUGCCUGGGGCCAAGUGCCCCUUCCACACUUGCUUUAGCUGUGGAAAAAAGAAGGGAAAGCUGUUUUUUGUGUGGGCCUCCCUCCCAGUG